This 468-nucleotide ribosomal RNA is filed under the name uncultured bacterium. Its description in RNAcentral is "partial 16S ribosomal RNA". It matches the Rfam family "Bacterial small subunit ribosomal RNA", at positions 28 to 507 of the family's 1533-position model. The record is from RNAcentral.
GACGAACGCUGGCGGCGUGCUUAACACAUGCAAGUCGAACGGAAAGGCCCUGCUUUUGUGGGGUGCUCGAGUGGCGAACGGGAGAGUAACACGUGAGUAACCUGCCCUUGACUUUGGGAUAACUUCAGGAAACUGGGGCUAAUACCGGAUAGGAGCUCCUGCUGCAUGGUGGGGGUUGGAAAGUUUCGGCGGUUGGGGAUGGACUCGCGGCUUAUCAGCUUGUUGGUGGGGUAGUGGCUUACCAAGGCUUUGACGGGUAGCCGGCCUGAGAGGGUGACCGGCCACAUUGGGACUGAGAUACGGCCCAGACUCCUACGGGAGGCAGCAGUGGGGAAUAUUGCGCAAUGGGCGGAAGCCUGAUGCAGCAACGCCGCGUGCGGGAUGACGGCCUUCGGGUUGUAAACCGCUUUCGCCUGUGACGAAGCGUGAGUGACGGUAAUGGGUAAAGAAGCACCGGCUAACUACGUG